This 304-nucleotide ribosomal RNA is filed under the name uncultured Streptococcaceae bacterium. RNAcentral's name for it is "bacterial SSU rRNA". It matches the Rfam family "Bacterial small subunit ribosomal RNA", at positions 505 to 809 of the family's 1533-position model. The record is from RNAcentral. Lineage: Bacteria; Bacillati; Bacillota; Bacilli; Lactobacillales; Streptococcaceae.
GUGCCAGCAGCCGCGGUAAUACGUAGGUUCCGAGCGUUGUCCGGAUUUAUUGGGCGUAAAGCGAGCGCAGGCGGUUAGAUAAGUCUGAAGUUAAAGGCUGUGGCUUAACCAUAGUACGCUUUGGAAACUGUUUAACUUGAGUGCAAGAGGGGAGAGUGGAAUUCCAUGUGUAGCGGUGAAAUGCGUAGAUAUAUGGAGGAACACCGGUGGCGAAGGCGACUUUCUGGUCUGUAACUGACGCUGAUGUGCGAAAGCGUGGGGAUCAAACAGGAUUAGAUACCCUGGUAGUCAACGGCGAAUUCGC